GAUGAACGCUGGCGGUGUGCCUAACACAUGCAAGUCGAGCGACCAGACGGUGAGAUUGUUCCUCUAACGUUGGCGGGGGACGGGUGAGUAACGCGUAGAUCGCCUUCCUCUUUUUCGGGGGUGAUUACGGGAAAACGGUUCUACUACCGGAUAAUAUAUUCAACCGCAUGGUGCAAUAGUGCUACCCGCUUUUGCUGUCAGAUUUAGACGGUUUCGGGCCGCAUUAGCUAGUUGGUAAGGUAACGGCUUACCAAGGCAACGAUGCGUAGCCGACCUGAGAGGGUGAUCAGCCACACUGGAACUGAGACACGGUCCAGACUCCUACGGGAGGCAGCAGUGGGGAAUCUUCCACAAUGGGCGAAAGCUUGACGCAGCAACGCCGCGUGGGUGAAGAAGGUCUUCGGAUCGUAAAACUCUUUUAUUGGGGAAGAACAGAAGCAGAAGAAACUAUGCACGUCCUGACGGUACCUAAAGAGAAAGCAACGGCUAACUACGUG
RNAcentral lists this ribosomal RNA (497 nucleotides) under uncultured bacterium. RNAcentral describes it as "partial 16S ribosomal RNA". It matches the Rfam family "Bacterial small subunit ribosomal RNA", at positions 28 to 507 of the family's 1533-position model. The record is from RNAcentral.